AAGUAUUAAUCAAACUAUUGCUUUAUGACGGCAUUUUAAAUAAUUAGAGAAACUUACUUUUUAAUCGACAAUAACCGUUAAUCUCUUUCUUUAACAGUUGAUAUACCGCUGUAACAGAUAAUUUUCCAUAAAAAAAAUCAAAAUAUAAUUAUAUAAAAAAUCAAGUCAAGGUGUCACCAAUAAUAAAGCUAAAGCGAGUUACAAUAAAAAUAAUUUAAGGAAAUAGUAUUUAAAAAUAUUUUCAAAAGAGAAUCUAUAAGUACAAUUUUAUUAAGAUAUAAAUUUGAAUCACCUUUUAAUGUGU
This 304-nucleotide ribosomal RNA is filed under the name Loxosceles deserta. RNAcentral describes it as "partial 12S ribosomal RNA". Lineage: Eukaryota; Metazoa; Arthropoda; Arachnida; Araneae; Sicariidae. The record is from RNAcentral.